ACAUUUUUUUCAUCAGAAGAUUUACAAACAGAAUCAUUCUCCUUAUUCAAAAUGGCUGAGACAGCACCCGGGCAAACAUAAUUUUCAACGGCAACAACAUUAGCAACUUCACUCAUCUUCUCUGCCUUAUCAUUAAUUGAGCUACAAACUAUAUCCUGCAUACCACAACAAGAUUUACCAGUAGUAUUUUCUUUUCUUUUAUAAUUCGGAAUGGCAGAAAUGAUUUCAUCAUUGAUUUUAAUGUCA
RNAcentral lists this unclassified non-coding RNA (246 nucleotides) under Hevea brasiliensis (rubber tree). Lineage: Eukaryota; Viridiplantae; Streptophyta; Magnoliopsida; Malpighiales; Euphorbiaceae. The record is from RNAcentral.